This 447-nucleotide ribosomal RNA is filed under the name uncultured bacterium. Its description in RNAcentral is "partial 16S ribosomal RNA". It matches the Rfam family "Bacterial small subunit ribosomal RNA", at positions 29 to 523 of the family's 1533-position model. The record is from RNAcentral.
AACGAACGCUGGCGGCAGGCUUAACACAUGCAAGUCGAAUGCCCCGCAAGGGGAGUGGCAGACGGGUGAGUAACGCGUGGGAACCUUCCCUAUAGUACGGAAUAUACCAGGGAAACUUGGAGCAAUACCGUAUACGCCCUUCGGGGGAAAGAUUUAUCGCUAUAGGAUGGGCCCGCGUAGGAUUAGCUAGUUGGUAAGGUAAUGGCUCACCAAGGCGACGAUCCUUAGCUGGUUUGAGAGAAUGACCAGCCACACUGGGACUGAGACACGGCCCAGACUCCUACGGGAGGCAGCAGUGGGGAAUAUUGGACAAUGGGCGCAAGCCUGAUCCAGCCAUGCCGCGUGAGUGAUGAAGGCCUUAGGGUUGUAAAGCUCUUUUAGUAGGGAAGAUAAUGACUGUACCUGCAGAAUAAGCUCCGGCUAACUUCGUGCCAGCCGCCGCCGUAA